AUCAUUCUGACAGGUGUGAGAUGAUACCUCAUUGUGGUUUUGAUUUGUAUUUCCCUGAUGAUGAGGGAUGUGGAGCAUCUUUUCAUGUGUCUGUUAGCCAACUGGAUGUCUCCUUUAGAAAAGUGUCGGUUCAUGUCUUUUGCCCAUUUCUUCACUGG
Long non-coding RNA from Herpailurus yagouaroundi (jaguarundi), 158 nucleotides. RefSeq lists it as uncharacterized. NCBI's taxonomy places the organism in Eukaryota, Metazoa, Chordata, Mammalia, Carnivora, Felidae. The record is from RefSeq and is a predicted model, not a curated record. The transcript is spliced from 3 exons.